AAGAAAAAAAGAAAAAAUAAAGGGAAACCCCUCCUCUGCUAGGGUUCCAAGAUUGAAACCCCGCCGCUGCCAUGCCUUCGCUGUCCGGUGAUCGGAGCUGUGCGAAGAAGGCUCCUAUCGGCGCCUUGAAACGCGCUCAUGGGACGAGGCCAUGGAACGAAGAGACGAGGGGAAAGAGAAGAACUUCGGCCCCUCCUUGAACCCACAUCCGGCGACGGCGAAUCACCAUCGACGGCGGGCCUAGGGGCCGAUUCAGGUAACCUUCUUUUUUUCCUUUUUUUUGUUUUUUAAUUACUUUUAAAUAGAUUUGAAAUAAAAGAAAAGAAAAGAAAAACAAAAACUAUGAAAAAGAGAACGAAGAGAACAGUUUUUUU
This 374-nucleotide long non-coding RNA is filed under the name Gossypium barbadense (sea-island cotton). RNAcentral describes it as "long non-coding RNA (GBAR_LNC019719)". The record is from RNAcentral. Lineage: Eukaryota; Viridiplantae; Streptophyta; Magnoliopsida; Malvales; Malvaceae.